AAACUUUACAAUGUGCGAAAGCACGAUAAGGGAACUCUGAGUGCCUCCUAAGGAGGCUGUUCAGAUGUCUAAAAAAGCAUCUGGAGGAAGGGCUGGGCAAGACCGGUGCCAGCCGCCGCGGUAACACCGGCAGCCCAAGUGGUAGUCAUGCUUACUGGGUCUAAAGCGUCCGUAGCCGGCCGGGUAAGUUCCUUGGGAAAUUUGAUCGCUUAACGAUCAAGCUACCUGGGAAUACUACUUGGCUUGGGACCGGGAGAGGUCAGAGGUACUUCAAGGGUAGGGUG
Molecule: ribosomal RNA, 284 nt
Filed under: uncultured archaeon
Lineage: Archaea
Description: partial 16S ribosomal RNA
Rfam family: Archaeal small subunit ribosomal RNA
Source: RNAcentral